Molecule: unclassified non-coding RNA, 332 nt
Filed under: soil metagenome
Description: partial contains 5.8S ribosomal RNA, internal transcribed spacer 2, and large subunit ribosomal RNA
Rfam family: 5.8S ribosomal RNA (bases 1-120)
Source: RNAcentral
GAUGAAGAACGUAGCGAAAUGCGAUAAGUAAUGUGAAUUGCAGAAUUCAGUGAAUCAUCGAAUCUUUGAACGCACAUUGCGCCCGCUAGUAUUCUGGCGGGCAUGCCUGUUCGAGCGUCAUUUCAACCAUCAAGCCCUGUUUAGGCUUGUGUUGGGGCCCUGCGGUUGCCGCAGCCCCCUAAAUGCAGUGGCGGGCUCGUUGUCACUCCGAGCGCAGUAGCGUAUCUCGCUCUGGGCGUGGCGGCGGGUGCUAGCCGUGAAACACCCACUAAGGUUGACCUCGGAUCAGGUAGGAAUACCCACUGAACUUAAGCAUAUCAAUAAGCGGAGGA